UAACAUGUAAUCAAUAUUUAUUACAUCGAUAUUUGAUACAUUAAAAAUUCAUAACACAAAACCGAAAAACUUUCAAUUUAUCAUUCAAAACAAAACUCCAACAUAAAACUUAAGUUUGCUUUGGAUUAAAAUAAAAUAAAAAAUUAAUAUUAAUCCGUGGAUUCCCAUGCACAAAUUGUUUGAUUAGUGCAUACCCGUUGGCCUCGAGCACGGCCAAAUCCUGUUCUUGCUAAUGAUCUGAACGCCCCGUAUUUUCU
RNAcentral lists this long non-coding RNA (257 nucleotides) under Physcomitrium patens. Its description in RNAcentral is "long non-coding RNA (PPAT_LNC001223)". The record is from RNAcentral. Lineage: Eukaryota; Viridiplantae; Streptophyta; Bryopsida; Funariales; Funariaceae.